GGCCCCGUAGCUCAGCGGUCAGAGCAGGGUACUCAUAAUUCCUUGGUCCUCGGUUCGAAUCCGAGCGGGGCCA
Molecule: transfer RNA, 73 nt
Filed under: Phycisphaerae bacterium
Lineage: Bacteria; Pseudomonadati; Planctomycetota; Phycisphaerae
Description: tRNA-Ile
Rfam family: tRNA
About the family: Transfer RNA (tRNA) molecules are approximately 80 nucleotides in length. Their secondary structure includes four short double-helical elements and three loops (D, anti-codon, and T loops). Further hydrogen bonds mediate the characteristic L-shaped molecular structure. tRNAs have two regions of fundamental functional importance: the anti-codon, which is responsible for specific mRNA codon recognition, and the 3' end, to which the tRNAs corresponding amino acid is attached (by aminoacyl-tRNA synthetases). tRNAs cope with the degeneracy of the genetic code in two manners: having more than one tRNA (with a specific anti-codon) for a particular amino acid; and 'wobble' base-pairing, i.e. permitting non-standard base-pairing at the 3rd anti-codon position.
Source: RNAcentral